RNAcentral lists this ribosomal RNA (434 nucleotides) under uncultured Lachnospiraceae bacterium. RNAcentral describes it as "bacterial SSU rRNA". It matches the Rfam family "Bacterial small subunit ribosomal RNA", at positions 341 to 792 of the family's 1533-position model. Lineage: Bacteria; Bacillati; Bacillota; Clostridia; Lachnospirales; Lachnospiraceae. The record is from RNAcentral.
ACGGGAGGCAGCAGUGGGGAGUAUUGCACAAUGGGGGAAACCCUGAUGCAGCGACGCCGCGUGAAGGAAGAAGGAUCUCGGUAUGUAAACUUCUAUCAGCAGGGAAGAAAAUGACGGUACCUGACUAAGAAGCCCCGGCUAACUACGUGCCAGCAGCCGCGGUAAUACGUAUGGAGCAAGCGUUAUCCGGAUUUACUGGGUGUAAAGGGUGCGUAGGCGGCAUGGCAAGUCAGAUGUGAAGGACCGGGGCUCAACUCCGGGGCUGCAUUUGAAACUGCCAGGCUGGAGUACAGGAGAGGCAGGCGGAAUUCCUAGUGUAGCGGUGAAAUGCGUAGAUAUUAGGAGGAACACCAGUGGCGAAGGCGGCCUGCUGGACUGUUACUGACGCUGAGGCACGAAAGCGUGGGGAGCAAACAGGAUUAGAUACCCUGGUA